GUUGCUUCGGCGGGCAGGGGAAGCCUCUCGCGGGCCUCCCCUCCCGGCGCCGGCCCCACCACGGGGACGGGGCGCCCGCCGGAGGAAACCAAACUCUAUUUACACGACGUCUCUUCUGAGUGGCACAAGCAAAUAAUUA
This 139-nucleotide ribosomal RNA is filed under the name Colletotrichum acutatum. Its description in RNAcentral is "5.8S ribosomal RNA". The record is from RNAcentral. Lineage: Eukaryota; Fungi; Ascomycota; Sordariomycetes; Glomerellales; Glomerellaceae.